GGCUGGUCUGCAGGGAGUGAGUUAUCUCAACUGAUUGUUCACAGUCAGUUACAGAUUAAACUCCUUGUUUUACUCUUUCCCACUUCUCACUACUGCACUUGACUAGUCUUAA
Molecule: Y RNA, 112 nt
Filed under: Macaca mulatta (Rhesus monkey)
Lineage: Eukaryota; Metazoa; Chordata; Mammalia; Primates; Cercopithecidae
Description: Y RNA (ENSMMUG00000058054.1)
Rfam family: Y RNA
About the family: Y RNAs are components of the Ro ribonucleoprotein particle (Ro RNP), in association with Ro60 and La proteins.
Source: Rfam by way of RNAcentral